Molecule: unclassified non-coding RNA, 384 nt
Filed under: Hevea brasiliensis (rubber tree)
Lineage: Eukaryota; Viridiplantae; Streptophyta; Magnoliopsida; Malpighiales; Euphorbiaceae
Source: RNAcentral
AAACGAUUUAAACCCAAAAUGAAUAUGAAGUACAGAACUGCAUUCUCAUGGGCACAAGAGUAUACACACAUACACAUGGAUCACAUAUAAUCUAUAGUAAACAAGAAGCCAUCAAUAUGGUCAGUUAUGGUUGUAGCUACAUCUGAGAACACAGAACGCAACUGGGAUAGAGUUCUUUAAAAAAAAAUAUAUAAAUUCACAUAAAGAGGAUCCAACAGAGCAUGAAAAUAGAUAUGGAAUAAAUAAUUCAUAAACAAACAGAUAAAAGGGUAUAUUGGUUUUGUGAGCCACAAAUUUGAGGCAAGUAUAAAGCCAUGGAUGAUGCGAAAAUAAAGUAGCAUGGGAAAAAAAUCUACAAACAAUAUAAGGCCAAAUCAAAAUAAA